RNAcentral lists this ribosomal RNA (465 nucleotides) under uncultured bacterium. Its description in RNAcentral is "partial 16S ribosomal RNA". It matches the Rfam family "Bacterial small subunit ribosomal RNA", at positions 338 to 795 of the family's 1533-position model. The record is from RNAcentral.
CCUACGGGCGGCAGCAGUAGGGAAUCUUCCACAAUGGGCGCAAGCCUGAUGGAGCAACACCGCGUGAGUGAAGAAGGUCUUCGGCUCGUAAAGCCCUGUUGUUGGAGAAGAACGUGCGUGAGAGUAACUGUUCACGCAUUGACGGUAUCUAACCAGAAAGCCACGGCUAACUACGUGCCAGCAGCCGCGGUAAUACGUAGGUGGCAAGCGUUAUCCGGAUUUAUUGGGCGUAAAGCGAACGCAGGCGGUCGUUUAGGUCUGAUGUGAAAGCCUUCGGCUUAACCGAAGAAGUGCAUCGGAAACCGGGCGACUUGAGUGCAGAAGAGGACAGUGGAACUCCAUGUGUAGCGGUGGAAUGCGUAGAUAUAUGGAAGAACACCAGUGGCGAAAGCGGCUGUCUGGUCUGCAACUGACGCUGAGGCUCGAAAGCGUGGGUAGCGAACAGGAUUAGAUACCCGAGUAGUC